UACCCGACACCGCGGCAUAUGCCGGUCGC
Molecule: small RNA, 29 nt
Filed under: Bombyx mori (domestic silkworm)
Lineage: Eukaryota; Metazoa; Arthropoda; Insecta; Lepidoptera; Bombycidae
Description: ovarian small RNA-20662
Source: RNAcentral